RNAcentral lists this transfer-messenger RNA (353 nucleotides) under Phycisphaerales. RNAcentral's name for it is "JADFKZ01 sp022564665 Standard tmRNA". It matches the Rfam family "transfer-messenger RNA". Rfam says of the family: Bacterial tmRNA, also known as 10Sa RNA or SsrA, is named for its dual tRNA and mRNA-like properties. Its role is to liberate the mRNA from a stalled ribosome. RNAcentral also lists the same sequence under 1 other name. The record is from RNAcentral. Lineage: Bacteria; Pseudomonadati; Planctomycetota; Phycisphaerae.
GGGGCCGAACUGGACUCGACCGGGCAGUUGAGGCUUGUCGUGGCGCGUCGUGGAGCAUCCCUGCCACGUAAAAAGGAUGCACACUUAUAUUUGCCGACACUGAGUUGGCUCUCGCUGCGUAAUUCGCAGUGGCGAUCCCGGACCUGACGCCCGAUAGGGCUCGGGGUCGACGACCAUCGGGCUGGUUCCACGGGGCUGACAGACCCCCAGGGGACGAGACAACAGUCUGUCAUGGCAAGGCAAAACGCCGUCGCUCGCGGUUUGCCGAGCCGAGAUCAAAGGAGCGACUACGCGCGUAGAUGCGGCCUGCUGGCUGCUCCGGCACGGGGGUUCGAUUCCCCCCGGCUCCACUU